GAUGAACGCUAGCGGGAGGCCUAACACAUGCAAGCCGAGCGGUAGAGUUUCUUCGGAAACUUGAGAGCGGCGCACGGGUGCGUAACACGUGUGCAACCUACCUUUAUCUGGGGGAUAGCCUUUCGAAAGGAAGAUUAAUACCCCAUAAUAUAAUGAUUGGCAUCAACUAUUAUUGAAAACUCCGGUGGAUAGAGAUGGGCACGCGCAAGAUUAGAUAGUUGGUGAGGUAACGGCUCACCAAGUCAAUGAUCUUUAGGGGUCCUGAGAGGGAGAUCCCCCACACUGGUACUGAGACACGGACCAGACUCCUACGGGAGGCAGCAGUGAGGAAUAUUGGACAAUGGGUGAGAGCCUGAUCCAGCCAUCCCGCGUGAAGGAUGACGGUCCUAUGGAUUGUAAACUUCUUUUGUACAGGGAUAAACCUACCCUCGUGAGGGUAGCUGAAGGUACUGUACGAAUAAGCACCGGCUAACUCCGUG
RNAcentral lists this ribosomal RNA (479 nucleotides) under uncultured bacterium. RNAcentral describes it as "partial 16S ribosomal RNA". It matches the Rfam family "Bacterial small subunit ribosomal RNA", at positions 28 to 507 of the family's 1533-position model. The record is from RNAcentral.